Molecule: ribosomal RNA, 207 nt
Filed under: uncultured bacterium
Lineage: Bacteria
Description: partial 16S ribosomal RNA
Rfam family: Bacterial small subunit ribosomal RNA
Source: RNAcentral
CACGUAGGCGGUUUUUUAAGUCUGUUGUGAAAGCGCCGCGCUUAACGCGGCAAGUGCAAUGGAAACUGGGGAACUGGAGGGUGUCAGAGGCAAGCGGAAUUCCCGGUGUAGCGGUAAAAUGCACAGAGAUCGGGAGGAACACCAGUGGCGAAGGCGGCUUGCUGGGGCACAACUGACGCUGAGGUGCGAAAGCGUGGGGAGCAAACA